UUCGCAAUGCCCGAAAGGGUGACGAAGCGACGCCGCGUGUGGGAAGAAGGCCUUCGGGUUGUAAACCACUGUCGGGAGUUAAGAAAUGUAAGGGUGUUAAUAGCGCCUUUACUUGACAAAGGCUCCGGAGGAAGCCACGGCUAACUCUGUGCCAGCAGCCGCGGUAAUACAGAGGCGGCAAGCGUUGUUCGGAAUUAUUGGGCGUAAAGAGCACGUAGGCGGCUUUGCAAGUCAGUUGUGAAAGCCUUCCGCUUAACGGAAGAACAGCAGCUGAUACUACAGAGCUUGAGUACGGGAGGGGAGAGUGGAACUUCUGGUGGAGCGGUGAAAUGCGUAGAUAUCAGAAGGAACGCCGGCGGCGAAAGCGAUUCUCUGGUCCGAAACUGACGCUGAGUGUGCGAAAGCUAGGGGAUCAAACGGGAUUAGAUACCCCGGUAGCCCUAGCCGUAAACGAUGGGCACUAAGUAGAGGGGUUUU
This 477-nucleotide ribosomal RNA is filed under the name uncultured Planctomycetota bacterium. RNAcentral describes it as "bacterial SSU rRNA". It matches the Rfam family "Bacterial small subunit ribosomal RNA", at positions 365 to 832 of the family's 1533-position model. The record is from RNAcentral. Lineage: Bacteria; Pseudomonadati; Planctomycetota.